GCGCACAUGGCGGAAUGGUAGACGCGCCAGCUUGAGGGGCUGGUGGGGAGAUUUCCCUGUGGAAGUUCGAGUCUUCUUGUGCGCA
RNAcentral lists this transfer RNA (85 nucleotides) under Atopostipes suicloacalis DSM 15692. It matches the Rfam family "tRNA". Rfam says of the family: Transfer RNA (tRNA) molecules are approximately 80 nucleotides in length. Their secondary structure includes four short double-helical elements and three loops (D, anti-codon, and T loops). Lineage: Bacteria; Bacillati; Bacillota; Bacilli; Lactobacillales; Carnobacteriaceae. RNAcentral also lists the same sequence under 2 other names. The record is from Rfam by way of RNAcentral.